RNAcentral lists this transfer RNA (73 nucleotides) under Pantoea sp. M_8. RNAcentral describes it as "tRNA-Phe". It matches the Rfam family "tRNA". From Rfam's summary of the family: Transfer RNA (tRNA) molecules are approximately 80 nucleotides in length. Their secondary structure includes four short double-helical elements and three loops (D, anti-codon, and T loops). Further hydrogen bonds mediate the characteristic L-shaped molecular structure. tRNAs have two regions of fundamental functional importance: the anti-codon, which is responsible for specific mRNA codon recognition, and the 3' end, to which the tRNAs corresponding amino acid is attached (by aminoacyl-tRNA synthetases). tRNAs cope with the degeneracy of the genetic code in two manners: having more than one tRNA (with a specific anti-codon) for a particular amino acid; and 'wobble' base-pairing, i.e. permitting non-standard base-pairing at the 3rd anti-codon position. Lineage: Bacteria; Pseudomonadati; Pseudomonadota; Gammaproteobacteria; Enterobacterales; Erwiniaceae. The record is from RNAcentral.
GCCCGAAUAGCUCAGUCGGUAGAGCAGGGGAUUGAAAAUCCCCGUGUCCCUGGUUCGAUUCCGGGUUCGGGNG